Humulus lupulus (European hop) is the source of this 7896-nucleotide RNA transcript. RefSeq lists it as uncharacterized. Lineage: Eukaryota; Viridiplantae; Streptophyta; Magnoliopsida; Rosales; Cannabaceae. The record is from RefSeq and is a predicted model, not a curated record. The transcript has 4 exons.
AAUAACAUGGGCUAUGUUAGUAUUGGGUAAAGUGUUUGUUAUCCAAAAAACUGGCAUUGAUGACGUGGCAAGUGAUCCCUGGACACGUGGAUGACAUCUGGAGGAACUCUGCUAGUGUAUCGACCAGAAGGUACAUUAUAGGCAGAAGGCGGCCCAGUCUUUCCUGCGACCAGUCUGGUCGAUGGAUCCGCAUGCAGCAUGGUGUUCCAAUAAAGAUCUUUGUAAAUCCCGAAAUUAACUCACACAAUCUCCUGAGUAUCCGAUUAUUCAGGAGAGAAUAUCUGUAACAAUCUCGUGUAAUCCCCCUUAAGCCUAUAAAUAGAGAAAGAUAGCUCAAGGAAGGGACCCUUUUUGGCUUUUGAAUUAUUUGAUACAAGAGUAAUUCUCUCUAAGAUAUUGUAUUGUUCUUCAGAGGUUAGUGAAACUCAUUGAACCCUAGUUUUUUUAUCACUCCUUUGAUUCCCACAUCAAUAACAAUUUAAGUGGACGUAGGUCAUUACCAGAUCCUGGGGCCGAACCACUAUAAAACAUCGUGUUCUUAUUAUUUUUGUCAUUUGAUUCUUUUCAACGCAUUCAUUCACAUCAAGCAUAUUCUGACUCCGUGUCAGUUGACCAAAAUCAGGGUCAACAGUGUUAUAAACUGUUUUUUAUAGGACUUUUUCAGAGUUAUUCAUAAUAUUUUUUCUUGUGGUGUAUUAACCUUAAUUACACGUUUAUAACCAAAUCACUUUAUUAUCUAGUUUGAUAUUAUUUAAAGUACACAGUGUAACCGUCAUAGAUUAGAAAGUUGUUGGAGCGUUACUGAUUCCUUUUGACAAUCACUGAAAGAAAAAAUGUUGUCAUCUCAACCAGAUUUGAAUGGCUCCCCUUGCCAAUGUCAUGGAGAAAGAAUGUCAUCUCUUACGUAAUUGUAGAGGUGUGUGAGGUCGGAAACCUCUAUGACAUGACAAAAUGAUGCAACACAAUGUAUUUAUGUGUCAUGUCAAUGGUUUUGAAUGAAGCAUGUGCUGGCCCAUCAGCAUUCUGACCUAUCAAUUUAGAGGCGACAACAUCAUUUAUAACAGCUUGAUCAGAGGGGUUAGUGAAAUUCAUUAAAGGAGUAUCUAAAGCCUUAAAAAUAACCUCAACAUUAAAAUCAUAUAAAUGCCCCCUUACAGGCACUUUCCCAAAUAAAUCAGAACCCUCUGCCUCUGUCUGAUCAUACUAUUUUGUUUUGUAAAGCUAAUUUAGAUCAACUUCGGAUCUUCUAGUAAUGCCUCUAUAAAUAUGGCUACUGGUCAGGAAAAUCGGUUAACAUGAGUAGGUCAUUUAUUACUUUCUCUCAGAAUGUUCGGCAAAGCCUUAGAGAUAAUGUGUAGAAUCAGUUGAGGUUUAUACUCACGGAUAACCUAGAUAGAUUCUUGGGCAAUCCUUUAUUCAUCAAUAGAAAUAAGCACUAGAGUUUCAAGUUUGUCUUAUAUGAAUCAUCUGGAAAGUUCCCAAGGUAAACUCCUAUCUCAAGCGAGAAGGACUACAUUGAUCACUUGAUUAGUUUACGGCAUUCUUAGUUACUGCAUGCCAAUUUUUUACUUCCUAAAUCUAUAUGUGUAGAGCUUGAUAAGAUGGUUAUGAAGUUUUGCUGCUCGGACACUCUGAGAAUUCUCAUUACUUGGUUCUUACAAGUUGUGACUCUAUUUGCAACCCUAAAAAUUGUGUAGCAAAAAUUGCAGAUAUUAACUUCGCAUAUAUAAAAAAACUUGGUUGGAUGAUUGCUUCAGGAAGUGAUUCUCUCUGGGCAACUGCUUUUCGCAAUAAAUACUGCAGGGGUGCUGAUUUCUGGCCUACUAAAAUUUCCUCAAUAGUAUCUUUUGCUGACUGGGAAUCUGGAGCACAAGGGACUUUAUAUGUAGUAAUUCUAGUUACACAAUUGGGAAUGGUUUAUAGGCUUUAAUCAGUCAUUCCCGUGGCUAUGUCUCCUUCUUUGGGAGAAUUAUGGUGUUAUUUCAAUUCUUGUAUAAAGUCGUAUUCCAAUAUGGCUUUCCUGUUGAAUUAUCCCGAUGGGAGCUUGAACCUUCAUGCUCUUCUGAUUUAGCUGAGACCUGAGGUGGCUAUUUAAGUCUUUAAUUCCUCCAAGUUUAGUGGUAAUUAGCCUAAUAAAUUGAUUUGAAGAGAUGAUUUUAAUGGGGACUUCUCAGUUCAUCAAGCGUACAUGAGUCUAAAUAAAAGUCGUUUCCAGGAUUCUCCAAUUAUUUGGAAAAAGAUUUAGAACUCAAGCCUUCAUGUGCGCCUAAAAUUGUUCAUCUGGAAGGUUUCCAAGGAUAUCUUGCUAUUUGGAUAUCAGCUCAGGUCCCUGUUUGGGGUGGAGUCGAUAUGUGCGAUAUGUAGGUCGGGCCUAGAAAAAUUAUGGCAUUUGUUCUUCCAAUGUGAGUACGCUAGAAGAAUUUGGAUCACUUGUAUAUACUACUCAUAUGAGCCUUCUUUAUUGGAUGUUUUCUCAACAUACUACAAUUCCCCUUCUAGGCCCAGCUACUGAAAACCAUGCUUUAUAUAUUGCUAUUAUUUGUAAAAAUAUAUGGCACUCUAGAGACCUUUGUCUCCAUUCCGGAAAACUUGAUCUUCCCCAGGUUUCAAUAUGUAGGACUAAUUGAAGUUUUUUUUAGUUUAUUUAGAGUAGGGCUCAUGAUGUUUCUCAUAUACAACAACGCCCUAUCAUCUCUUCUCGUUGGCUGAAUCCAAGACCUGGCAGAAUGAGGAUUUUCUUUGACACUGCUUUCAAAUAUUGGAAUGGCACGGCAGGAGUGAUGGUGCAGAAUGGUGAUGAUGCAGUGGUCGGUCUUGCCUCUUCCCUUCUUGUCUCCCAAACUCCAUUCAAAGCUAAAUUGAAAGCCUUCAAAUUUGUUCUAAGUUUUGCUUCAGAUCAUGAGUGGGGAAAUGUCGUUUUCUUCACGGACUGUGUACAGCUUUCCAUGCCCAUGGAAUCGGACAUGUUGACGCGGUUUUUUUUAAGAAAUAAUAAUGUAGAUUAGUAUUUAAUAAUAAACCUUAAUAAAAAAAUGAAAUGAAUUCAAAAGAACACAAAUAUUUUACAUAGUUCAGUAGUUAAAAUCCACCUAGUCCACGAGUCUAUAUUAUUAUUGUUUCUCUCUCUAUUUUGGCAGAGUUUCAGUGUUACAGAAUAAUUGGUCUCUUUUCCUGUCCAAUGUUCUCAGUAUCUAUAGAAAAAUUCCAUGGACAGGUUUGGGUAAUCGCAUGAGUCAAUCACGCAUAUACAUAUUGUUGCGAAUGUUCUUAUGUGUGUGCAAGUGUACACAAUCGUCAAAAAAAAUAAUAUAAUGAAGUAAUUUUUAUCGUCUCCUCAAGGAUUGUCAAGCAAAUAUUGUAAAAAAAUCAACACCAAACAAUUUGGGGUACAAUUAAAUUUUUUUGAUGAUUUAAUUAAUUAAAAUAAGUCUUCAACACUAAGCCAGAAAAUGACAAAUUGUGAUUAAUAUUAUGAUAAAAGUUCGACAUAUCAAAUCCCCCUAAUUUGUAGUUUUGCCCCUGAUGUUGCAAUAAAGUUCAUAGCAAAGUUCUCUUGUAACUAGGAUUUCCAAUUUAAUGCACAUGCCAUUUUUCCAAAUGCUCGUGUUAAAGUUCAUUAAUUAAAUUCACAUACUCCUAUGCUAAAUUUAAUUUCAAGAACAUAAAUUCAAGCAUUAAUCUUUCAAGUUUGCAAGGUGAAUAAAAUAUCCCUAAGUUAUCCACUAAUCAAUAACAAAAUUAUCAACAUGCAUCAAUCAAGUAUUUCCACUAAUUCUAACCCUUCCAGAAUUAAAACUACCUUGUUUCUCACCUAAGUUGAUCAUUCUCAAGCAAGAGUUUGCACAAUAAAUAUAGCUCAAAUGAACAAGAGAACAAUUGCAUAAAACAUUCAACACCUUGGGGUUAAUUACAAAUUAGGGUUCAUCAAUAUCCCUAACACAAACCAAUUAACUCAUAAUAAAAAUACCCAAAUCACCACAAUAUAUAUUCAGCAUUAUCUCAAAAGUUCAAGAUGAGAAAAAAGAAAAUUAUAGGAAAAGAGAGUUUAGGAAGACAAGCCAAAAUGAUAGAGAUUUUCUAUUCUUUGUCUUCUAACUUUUCUUCUUCUUCUAGCUUCCUCCUCCUCGGUAUUUCUCUUCUUCUUUUUUUCUUGAUGUUUCAGCUCCAAAGGUGCAGAAAACUCUUUCAAUGGUGAUGGGCGGCUGGGUUGGUUUUCUGGAGAAGAUCUCUUCUCUUUUUGGGCUCAAAAAGGGUAUAAACCCUCUCCUUGUCUCUCUACACGCAGGUACCACUCUCCUUUUCAGACUUUUUCAGCUCCUUUCCACCUCAUCCUCCCACUCUUAAAGUCUCUCCAUCUCAUUUAUUCACAUGCCAAGUGUGCAAACUUUAUGUUGCUGGCUGCCCACACUUUGCUGCAGCAAAGUUGACUGAUGCUACAACAAAGUGCCAGAAUUUCAGGUCCAAAAUGAUUUCCUUGCACAUGCUUCACUAAGCUUUCCAAGAACCCUUUCUUUUUGCCUUCAAAAUAGAUAACACAUUUUUAGAACAUAAACCCAUUAUUUUCCACAAGAGUUAUCAUUAAUUAAAACAAAAUACACAAACAAAAUUAAAAGACAAAAUGACUAAAACCAUACAAUAAUAACACAAAUACUCUAUUUCACUUAAAUUUUUAAGUUCAGAAGCUCAAUUAAUAACUCUAAAAUAUAGAGUUAUCACAUAUUUAUUACAUUUAAUACAUAUAUUUCUCAUUUAUAAUGGGAUAUGAUUUGAUCAUACAGUAAAUGUUCUCCUAAUAUAUGAGACAUUAAAUAUGACAGCCUAGUCAUAAAUAAUCAUAUAAUGGGAUUCUGAGUCUCCAGGGAUCAUUGAGUAUGCAAUACAUUCGAGUUAGCACGAGAUGAACAUCUCCUCCAAGCUUGUAUUUCAAAUGCAGUUUGAAUAUUAUGAGCUCACACUUCACAACCUUCGUGUCUAUAGCUCGGGUUAAACCCAGGACGCCUAACACCACACGUGCCCAUGUGAAACUGGAGUUGCUUACGUGGAUAAUAAGCAGAUAUCAUUCCCUUGGUUAUUUCUCCAUAUAUUUAUUUGCCAGCUAUACCCGAACUGAGUGAAUGACUUGAGCUACAAUUAAGGUACAACAUUUGCCCCCCAAGCUCCUGCUCGUGUAUGACGUCAUCAUUUUCUGACCUACACAGUAGGGGCUUUUAGUCUUCUAUUACACAAAACCAUGCCUGCCCACUACUCGAGUACUGGACACGUGGUAUACCGCAAUUGGCGUCUAUUCGGGAUUCGAGGACUGCAAUAAUUGUCUUGUCACCUUUUUGCCGCCGUUUUGUCUAUUUAACCAUGGCCCUUGGAUCUUGUACUAAUCGAAUUGGACGACCCAAAUUAAUUUACGCAGUUUACGUAUAAAUAGGAUAGGCAAUUUUCAGAUUUCACCACCUUUCAUUUGAAAAUUUUCUUCUUCUACAUUUUUGAAUCCCUCUUCUUUCUCACAAUUCUCCAAAAAUCAUUCACUGUACCCCAUUACUCAGGAGUUUUCCAAGAACUUCCCUUUGCAAAAUCUUACGUCUUGCCGUCAAAGAACAUACUGUAAGUACCUCUGACAUCUUGGUUUGAAAAAAAAAAUUUACUGGUCUUUUUUGUUCUUCACCAUGCUCAUCCGCACUAUUCACUAUAGUCAAUAUUAGGCUAUUUCCUGAAUGUUUUUAGCGAAUUGGCCUCGACUUAGGUUCAAUGGGUAGGUCCUAAAAUAUCUUUAGAACUAUGACAUUCAUAAAACUGGGUAAUUUCUAGGUAAACUUGGGUAAUCUCCAAGGUGAAUUUCAAAAAUACCCAUUCGGGAUAUAGGAGAUGAAAUUUUUUUAGGGUUCAAACCAGGUUGCUUAGGGGUCACGCUUCUUGGGUGGUUUUGCACUAAACCACCUCCCAAGGAAAGUAGUGGUCUGAUUUUCUGACACACGAAUCCCUAAAUAUUAGGGGUCUGUUAGGAAACCGAGGUGCGUAACUUAGGGUAGCGCGUGGCAUCACGCGAUGGGGCUGAGUCUAACUUAGAUCGUAUAUCAAAAGUAAACCAUUCCCCCUCCAUACUCCCGUGUCGUAACCUUUAAAUCCUCUUAGGUCGUUCUGUUCGUUAGGCGAUCUGAUGGCUCCCAAGAAGAAGGCAUCCAGCUCAUCUGCUCAGCAAAAGAACAAGGGGAAGGAGGUCACCCCUGAAUCUCCCACUCCCCACUUUGGUCCGGUGGUGGAAAAGGAGGUGGUGGUUGACCCCAACACCUUUGUCGAGGUUGAACACAUCAUAUCCAAGAUCACGACCCAAGAGAGGGUGAACAAGAUCAUGCUGAGCCACAAUAUUGAGGUCGGGACUGAAGUUCUCAUUGCUCGGCCUGCUUUUGAAGGGGAAUGGAGCUGCUCCCCUCUCCAGGAUGACUUCACGACCUGGAGUGACGAACACCUGAAGGCAGAAGCUUUUCUCCCCUUGGACCAAUAAUUCGUGAACUUUUUGAACUUCGUGAAGUUGGCUCCAUUUCAGCUCCCCCCAAAUUCUUAUAGGCUUUUAGCGGGGCUGAAAUAUUUAUUUUUGAAGCAUGAGUGGGAGGUCCCCACUCCGGUAGACAUCCUCUAUUUUUUCUGCCUCAAGGCUAGCCCAGAACAGAGUGGUCGAGGUGACGGGUUCUACUAUCUCACCAGAUUCCCUAACUCUGCUCCCGUCAUCGAGCUUCCCAGCCACCCCAACGACUAUAAAGACAAAUUCUUUAUGUCGAAUGGGUUCCAAAAUUGUGAACACAAAUACUUCAACCGUCCUCCCAUAUUUGCGAGGACGGCGAAGUCUGUGGCCAUCGGGAGUCAAUACGAGACGUUGUCCGGGCUUCCACCUAGCGAGAAGGACUACUGCCAAGUCAUGAAUGACGUCACGAUGCUGGCGUGUCAGUUGAUUGGUGAAGGCCAGACGUUGGCCUUAAGGACCUGGGCUAUCCUCCUAGUAAUCCAUGAGCUCCCAUCCUCUCAAGAGGAGGCCUUGCCAGCCACUGAAGGCGAGGAUGAGGAAGAGGACGAGGUGCCUCUUGUGCCGAAAAGGCGAGUUCCCGAGGCCAGAUGUCGUGAUUAUAGACUCCUCCCCCAGCCCGGAGGAGAUGGAACAAUUCCCUGAAGCCUUUCGGGGGAUCAUUUACGAGACGGCGAGUCAUAUGGUGGGGCAUGCCUAUAGGGCCAGCUCGAGGGACUUGAGGACUAUUGAGGAGCAGAGCCAGGAGAAUGUCCUGGAAUCAGCCAUGGGGAUGAACCUUUUUUCUAUUUUGGCUCAAUAUCGUAGUAUAGCCCGUGCUAGGGCUAGAAAUGAUGAGCUCCAGGCCGACAACGCUGCCAAUACUGCCUUGACAGCCGCUCAAGAAGCCGAGCAGGUCGCCAAAACUGCCUUGGCGGCUGCUCAUAAAAACGAACACGAGGCCAAGACUGUUCUUGCCUCAUCCCAAGAAAGCGAGCUGGCUGCGAAGACUGGCUUGACUGCCCUCUAGGCUCAAAAUGCACAACUUCAGGCCGAGGUUGAUGGAGCCAAAGCUAAACUGCUCGAGGCCGAGGCCGUAGUCAAAGAAGAGAGGGCAGUCUCAUUGUCAUCCAUGGAGGAUAUGUUGUACCAUUGUGGGCCUUUAACUAGGAUGGGAACUUUUCUUUCAUGGCUCCCGAGCUAUGGGAUCCUUACCUUGAAAAAUUCAAGGUUCAGAUUUUGCAAGAACCAUCAGAAAUGGGGGAUGCUUCUGCGGUAGGCGAGCAAGAUUGCAAUGAGGUUACAUCCUCAAAGCGACCUGGAGGAGCUUAGUGGCACCCUUUUUCCUUUUUUGGUUUUUUUUUAUUUCUUUGUAAACAAUUGCCUUUGGGCUCAGUUUGAGGUUUUUC